This 209-nucleotide long non-coding RNA is filed under the name Olea europaea (common olive). RNAcentral describes it as "long non-coding RNA (OEUR_LNC006610)". Lineage: Eukaryota; Viridiplantae; Streptophyta; Magnoliopsida; Lamiales; Oleaceae. The record is from RNAcentral.
CUCUAUCUCUUUCUUGAUUUUAGGGAGUACAUUGGGAGCAAAACGUCUAGGAGGCUGCCUAUGAGGUUUAAAGUUAGGCUUAGUUGGUAACCUAUGUUCCACCAAGUCUCUAUCUAAACCAGACAUUUGUUCAUAUUCCCAAGCAAAACAAUCUUUGUACUCUUUUAGCAAAGCGAUUAACUUGUUACUAACCUCUUGGUCGAGCAUUU